AGUUUGAUCAUGGCUCAGAGCGAACGUUAGCGGCGGGCUUAACACAUGCAAGUCGAGCGAGAAAGUGGCUUCGGCCAUCAGUAAAGCGGCGGACGGGUGAGUAACACGUAGGUAAUCUUCCCUUGAGCGGGGGACAACGAGCCGAAAGGCUCGCUAAUACCGCAUAAGUUCCCAGGGUCUUUGGAUCUUGGGAGGAAAGCUAGGUAGCAAUAUCCGGCACUCGAGGAGGAGCCUGCGUCGCAUCAGCUAGUUGGUGGGGUAAUGGCCUACCAAGGCGAAGACGCGUAGCUGGUCUGAGAGGAUGAUCAGCCACACUGAAACUGAGACACGGUUCAGACUCCUACGGGAGGCAGCAGUGGGGAAUAUUGGACAAUGGGCGCAAGCCUGAUCCAGCCACGCCGCGUGAGUGAUGAAGGCCUUCGGGUCGUAAAGCUCUGUGGGGAGGGACGAACCGCCGUUGGUUAAUACCCAACGGCAUGACGGUACCUCCUUAGCAAGCACCGGCUAACUUCGUGCCAGCAGCCGCGGUAAUACGAAGGGUGCAAACGUUGCUCGGAAUUAUUGGGCGUAAAGCGCACGUAGGCGGCUUAGCAAGUUGGAUGUGAAAUCCCUCGGCUCAACCAAGGAAGUGCAUCCAAAACUGCUGAGCUUGAGUACUUAAGAGGAUCGCGGAAUUCCCGGUGUAGAGGUGAAAUUCGUAGAUAUCGGGAGGAACACCAGUG
RNAcentral lists this ribosomal RNA (722 nucleotides) under uncultured bacterium. RNAcentral describes it as "bacterial SSU rRNA". It matches the Rfam family "Bacterial small subunit ribosomal RNA", at positions 10 to 714 of the family's 1533-position model. The record is from RNAcentral.